Molecule: long non-coding RNA, 6212 nt
Filed under: Triticum aestivum (bread wheat)
Lineage: Eukaryota; Viridiplantae; Streptophyta; Magnoliopsida; Poales; Poaceae
Description: long non-coding RNA (TAES_LNC004922)
Source: RNAcentral
UCACAUUAACCAACAACCUACCCUGUUUUUCACUCUAAUUUAAGGGAAAUAAACAUAUUGUUUACAUGACAGGGAAGACAAAUGACACAUGCUCCUUUUCAGUGGCAAAACAAUUUCACUCCUGAAGAUAAGUGUUGGAAACAUGCACAUCUUCUUAUUUGACACCUGACCAAGCGAUUGGAUUGCUUCCAGUAUUACAACGACCAAAGGUCAUGAAACAUCAGUGUGAAUCCCAUAUCACAUCAAUUUGGAUUUUCCCUUUCAUAUCUGCAUUGUGUAAAGUUGGAUCAGAUUGCAGUAUUUAUAUGUAAUUUAGCAAGAGUUCUACCAAGCCAUUAACUAUAGAAUCCAAAUUUAUUUCUUAGGAAAACAUUGAUAUUAUUUAGGAGUGAAAGACAUACCUGAGCCCACAAAUUAUUUUUGGAAUAUAAAUUGAUUAAUAUCAGUAGCAAGUUAGGAAAGUCAUGUAUGUGGCUAAUCAGUAGUUAGGAAGGUCAUAUCUCCAUAAGCGAUAGGUAACUACUUCAUAAUUCACAACAUGAAACGAUUUCAGACUUGUAAACACAUUUCGUAAAUCAAAAACCAUCUAAAAACAUUUUAGAAUUUGUUGGCGUGCCCAUAUAUGGAUUAAAAAAGUGAUGACUCAAAUAAAAAUAAAAAAAGCUAACAAAGUAUGGUUGACUACAAAAUAGCUUGAAUAAAUAUCAAUCAAAGAAGAACGAACCGGCAUCAACCCUCUAAAACGUCUCUAUAGACAAUAUUCUUGGUGCUUUUUCCUGAUUUAUCAAUCUGUUUAUUCGGCUUGGCCAAAAUUCGUGUCGUCCGCCUUGAUACACCCCUUGACAAGGCAACAUACAACUGACCAUGGGAAAACACUGGCUCGGGAAGAUAAAUGCCAACAUUUGGGAUGGUCUGGCCCUGCGCCUUGUUAAUGGUCAUCGCAAAACUUAGGCGGAUGGGGAAUUGUUUCCUCUUAAGCUUGAAGGAAAGUGAGAUGUCCUCCGAUGGUGACAAAGGGAUCCUCGGUAUAAAGACCCUCUUCCCAACAUGUUGCCCACCAACAAUCUCUGCAUCAAUUGCAUUAUCUUGGAAGGCUCUAAUCGUUAGCCUUGUUCCAUUGGAGAGGCCAUUGUGAGGAUCGAGGUUCCGUAGAAGAAUGACGGGGCAAUUGACCUUCACUUUCAACACAUGUGGUGGCAAUCCAUUUGGGGUGAGCGAAUUCACAAAGUCAAUCGGGUAAUUGUUCGAGUAUUCAUCCUCAAUAGAGUCGAAGCUAUGGUAUACCUUCUCUUGGCCAGGAAACAUGUCAAUCAUCUUGGAAUUCAGCUCAUCAACAUAGUCAUUCUUCAUGGAAAGAAUAGCACACGAGCUCAUGUACUCUCCCGAUUUAGCAUUGUCACUAAGAGAGGGGAAAACUUCUUUGAUUAGCCUAUUGAUUGCGGUUUCAUCAUCAGUAUGACCGAUCACAAUGUCCUCAGGGAGACGCACAUAGUCAUCACCUAUCGUUUCUUAGGUUCCAUUGCCAAUCCUUAAGAGAUACUCAGAGAACAAAGAGUCAGCUUGUGAUCUGAUGUUACGUGUAAGGUGUAUCUUAUGAAUCUUCUGCCAUAUAUAGGAUCUCUAUAUUGUAGCAUCGGUGAUCUGUGCACUUGUCCCUUUUGGAACCACUGGAAGGACCAGCCUAAAAUCUCCACCAAAAACGACAAUCUUCCCCCCAAAUGGCAAAGCACAUCCCAUUAUGUCUUGGAGUGACCUAUCAAGCGCCUCCACGGCUUGACGCUUUGUCAUGGCAACUUCAUCCCAAAUUAUCAAGGCCGCCUCUUUCAACAAUUCCGCCGUACCACUUUGCUUUGUGAAACCACACACGCUGUUGUUGGUGAGUUUAAUGGGUAUUUUGAACCUAGAGUGUGCAGUACGCCCUCCAGGUAAUAUCGAGGCUGCUAUACCUGAUGUAGCAGUGGCAAUGGCUAUCUCACCCAUCGAACGCACCUUAGCAAGCAACGCCUUGAACAAGUAUGUCUUCCCAGUGCCUCCUGGAGCAUCGAGAAAGAAGACUUGGCUUCUUUUGUUCAUGAUAUGGUCCAUUAUGUCAUUGAACCCAGCUAGUUGCUCACUGUUUAAAGAGUUUAUAAGAUCAAUAUAUUCUUGGUCCACACCGACCUCCCUCUCCUCUCUAACCUCCAUGCACUCAUCGCCUAGAAAAGCAUUUGUAUCAACCAGCUCCAGAAGUCCAUAGGUUUUAAUAUCCUUCCCCAUGGAAUGCAACAAAUCCCUGAUGUCUCUAAGGACCAUCUGCUCAGGUAUUGCCUCGUUGGGCUGGGAACAUUGGUAAUCCUCCGACAUCGACUCUAGGUGUUUGUCCCACAACUUUCGGAUUUUUGUAACCUCACAAAAUACUAAGAUAGUGGCAAACAAGCGUCUAAGAGCACAAGGCAUCUGAAAUGUGGCAGCUUCAGUCAGGCAGUGAUCAAGUGAUUUGUCGUGCUCAAUUAAUCCUAAUUGUUCACACGCCUCUUUGAAAGUAGAGCACGCAAUGCCUCGCACCUUUUUCAAAUCAUCAUAUGAUGUCGCACCUCGGACAUGAUUCAAGAGCACCCGCAAAUAGUACCUCUCCUCCUCAGCAGGGUGUGCAUACACAAUUCUACCAAUUUGUGGCCUUUGUUUUCGUUUAUACCAUCUCUUCUUUGAUGCAUCCCAUCUAAAGUGUUCCGGAUAAUCUCUGUACAGCCAUUGUCGUGCAUAAUGAUUCUUCCGAUUCAUUUCGAAGUAGUCAGUAAGCAUGGUUCUCGAAGAAGAUGGCUUAUCAACAACAUCUUUCAGAUUAUCAUCGGCUUUAAAUGCGACCAUGUGCAUGCCUGGCAAAUGAAGUUGCAACUGCAAGACUGAAGGACUAAUUCCAAACAUUUUAAAGCGUAAAAUCCUGUUGAUAGCCUCUGGAGGUGAUACAUAUCGUGCAUCUCGGUAUUAGCGGAUCUCAUUAAUGACCCCCCCCCAUUGUUGAUGAUAUCCUACUCGAAUGAAAAUGAUGUUCGGUCAUGUCCCUUGUAAAUGUACUUGAACAAAUACUUCACUGCCUUGAUGCUCGAGCAAGCUUCUACAUUGAUGUGGCAGUUGUACUUCAUGAGAAGAAAAGGGUUGUGAGGCACCACCCACCUAUUGUCCAACUCUGCUCCUCUCACUUUUACUCGACGUCCGUCAUCCCGCCUCCUAUAUAUGGGAUAUGAGUCCUUUCCCUGUUGUGUAGCGGGGCAAAACUCCCGAGGAUAGUGAAAACGACACUGCUCCUCAAUCAUGCAAGCACAUUUUUUAUUGAGGACACCACAUGGCCCGUGCAACAUGUGUUUUAUGACCAGAGCAUGCAGGACAGGGUAUUUAUUUUUAUCAGGUAUGUCUGCUGAUAUGACUCUGUCAUGGUCAUCUGGAGUCUUUAACUUGCUACCUGCCUUCAUGAUUAGAAGGAUAUGUUCGUGUGGGAGCCCUCUUUUCUGAAACUCGGUCACAUGAACAUAGGCCGCAACCUCGCCAAAAUGCUUCUUCUUGAUGAGUAAGUCCACCAAAUCUCGCUGCUUUGCUUUGUGCACUCUUGCAACCAGGUCUGGUCGAUCCUGUGGUAGCUGUCCGGGCAUCAACUCUGUUGUUAUGUCCUCCCAGUAUGGGUUGCAUGUCAUUGUGAUGAAGUAAUCUGGUUUACCCCAUCGCUGCACUAUGGCAAUUGCAUCUAGGAGCCUUCUCUGCAUAUCUCUAUCACCACCAGGAAAUGUCCUUGGGAGCACAAUCCUUUUACCAAUCCGAUCACCACAUGACUCACCAGCAGCGAUCGUGUCUACAAGACCCUACAUAGAAGAUACAUAAUGCGUGCAUUAAGAAUACCGAACUAUAUAUUAAAAGUGAGGUCGCUAAUGUCAUAUAAAAACAACCCCAAGAAUGGUACCUGGUAGAGGUCCGCGCGUAUAAUCUUCUGAUUUUCUGGCUUGGAGUACCAAUCCAGCCUCAUUGUCUCGAUCUUAAUGUACAUAUCAACGGACCAUUGUUGGAAAAGGCGCCCCCCAAACAGGACGAUGUUAAAAAGCUUCUUCCUGAUCAUCAGCUUGAAGCAGUAAUACUCCAUUGCAGAUACAUAUUUUCUUGAUUGAACAGGUUCGUCCUCCUCAUCCUGGUUGUCCUCGUUAUCGUUUGAAUGAAGAUUCAUAACAUUAAACAAAUUGGAGACCCUUAAAAUAGACGUGUACAAGUGAUGAAACUUACCUGCGGGCAAAUCAGCCAUGUGUUCAUCAAAUUGUUCAGAAUUAUCAAAUGUAGUCUGCAUUGUGUCAUCAUCUAUUUCUGUUAAAUUAACACUUGUAGGCAAGUCAGUAGACCGGUCUUGAACUUGUUCCGAACUACCAGCUGGACCUUUUAAACACAAGAAGUUCAAAAUAUUAGUUUUUGUUGUUGUUUUAAUUGACCAUGUUGCAAAUCUAAAACUAUAAAAUCAUACCCGUGUUAGACUCAUGGCCUUCAUCUUCUUCUGUAGGAACAUACGGCAACCAUCGAUUCCAACCAGUCUCCCCACCAGGAAAGAAUAAUGGAUACGCCAAAGGGUCAUAACAACCAUAGUAUGCUCUAUACAAGGGACGCUCUCCUGAUCCAUGCACGACAACAUGUCGAUCAAAGCAGUUCUAUGUGUCACCCCCUUCAACCCAUAUCGCUGCAACCUGGGAAGUUGUCGAGGCAUUGUACCAUCGCUGAUCCAGGGUUAUAUUUGUGUUUAUUUCAAUUCUAUAUUCAUCAAGGCUUGCUGAAGAACCAACAUGCUGAAAAGUCUGCACGUAAGGGUUGUGUUGUAGUAUACAUAGAAUUUUUCGAAUGAGAUCAAUAUUAAGAUCCGGUGACCUCAGGACCCGGUGCGCCAAGUUGUCAUCCGUAUCAUAAAUAUAUUGUUGCAAAUGUCGCGGACCAUGUUCACCAUGAACCAAAUGAUCCAAACGGUGGUACAGUUGUCCAUGUGCACGGAAUGUAUAUAUCCCAGUGCCUGCUGUAGUGCUGACUCGCUGGUCGAGUGUCACUCCAAGACUCGUGAAUGAGAAGUGUGAGUUGAAAUACCUUAUGUUAUCUCUGAAAUAUUUAGCAUCAUCAUCAUCCUGACUUGUAAACAAUCGUUUCAACUCAGCAGGCACAUCUGGAAUAGAUAUGCUAACUUUUCCUUUUCUACAACAAAAUGCCGGCCCCUCGUAUUGAAAUCGCAUUGCUCCGCAAUAGCUGCAAUCUUUAACUUUCUUCAAAACAUGAUGCUUCUUUGGCAGGUUAUGGUAGGCUUGGUUAUCAUCGACAUAAAGGGGUAUGCCAUUAGCAGCUACUUGGUAUGAUUCAAAUUGGGCAUCUGGAUAUGGACAUUUAAUUAAUUUACAUGUUUGAAAUGGUAGACUCUUUUGUUGGUAAAUCAAGAUAGUUUUAGAGAUGCAUACAUUGUUCAGAGAACAUCCUUGCUUCAUCGUCAAGCUCAUCUUGUGUGUGUUCUCCAUGGUGUAUGGCCUCCAAGCAUUCUAGUGGGAAAGAUAGUCAUUCCAUGACCAAGAGAAUGUAAAUUACACACUUUUACGUGUUUGGCCAAAGGGCAUGAAAAAAUACACGCAACAAUAUACAUACCCUGAAAGUUGGAUGUUUCCCCGCGGGGCUCAAGUAUUCCGUAGGGAUCUUCAGUCUGGUGCUUGUCUCCUGGCGAAUACUUGGUAAGAAUUCAUUAUUGAAGAUAGUACUUUAUGGAAAACAUCCAGCUAUUAAAUACUAAAAUAUUUACCCGCAAGAGCUUCACGCGGAUCGGUAGCACUGGACAUAUUGACAGGUCUUUUUUGUCUCUUAAUUUGCUGCAUCUCGUACAUAUCAUUUCUGUGCAGCCAAUCAGAAUCUUCGCUCGUAUUGAUAUUCACAUUUAUCUGCGAGGUACAUCCAUGGGCAGGCUCCCCUACACGUACAACAUAGAUGCUCUUUAAUCACUAUAUUGUUACAAUCUGUGAAAUAAUAUUAUGCGACAUGUACCUGGGGACAUAUCAGAGUUGAAGUUUGAUGCUACAACUUUGCUCCUCAUUUUGCUGUAGUCACGUUUCUUCUGCAAGAGAGAAGACAUUUGUUCGGGACUCAUUGAAUUGUAUCGGACUCUCUCACACAACCUUUUUUUUCUGCUGCACUUUGCUUGAGAGACGAUGGAACUAAAAGGCUCCCGGAUGAUCUUUGAU